Long non-coding RNA from Gallus gallus (chicken), 1668 nucleotides. The record is from Ensembl. NCBI's taxonomy places the organism in Eukaryota, Metazoa, Chordata, Aves, Galliformes, Phasianidae.
GGGCACGGGGUGCGCCCCGGGUUGCUCUGUGCCUCUGCUGGGCGUCCUGCGGGUCUGGAGCUCUGCGGAGGACUUGGACAUCCUCAUCAUCCCAGCGCCCUGCCUGCUCCCGUAACCUUCUCCAGAUGGUGACACGAACAGAUGACUUCAAAGACACUUCAUGAACUUGCCUUUAUAGCAGAAGCCAGGGGAUGCUGCCAGCGCCUGGAACGCGAGCGUUAGGAAUCCGUGCUGUGUAAAUUAGCAACAUCAAUGCCUACUGCAUUUAAUAGGACCAUACGGGGAAUGCGAAGAUAUUAUAUAAUUUCAACCAUAUUAAAGCCUCCAGAACUCGCAACCUCAUUAUUUCCUGCAGCGUCUCGCUGCAAACUGUAUUACUUUAUUUGGAAUGUGUUCGCUUUCGGAUUAAACAAUUGAGCCACGUUAAAGUAACACGAAGGGGAAAACCAUAAAACUUUUGGCUGCUUUUCACAGAGGUCGUUGUGUUGGGUUCAAAAUUAUCCCAGGAGCAAUGAUUUUCUGCCACCCAGGAUAAAAAACAGCGUUGGAGUUGUGCUAAUUCUGUGCAGUUACUUUAAUCACUGGAGUAAAUUCUACCAAAGAGCUCGACUGUAGUGUCAGCCUCCCCCUAAUCACAGAAAGGAAAAAACAGAAGCAAAAGGAUGGGUGUAUUGAUGUCCCUCCUCUUGGUAAUGGCUGCAUGAAGACAGAACAGCGGCGUACAGUCUGCCCCAGCUUUAACUCAUUAUUGAUGAUCCUAUUGUGCAAUGAUGGCCAAAGGGUCGUACUCUGUUGUGGGUGUUUGGCUUUCUGGUGGAAUUCAUGCACUGUGUGCGCUGUGUGUUGUAAUCGAUCCUUCCUAAAAUUAGGCUGGAGGGUGACACGUAACCUUGGCUGGGGACACCCGUGACUGCAUCCCAGCCCUCAGCGCACGUCUGGGAGCACCGCCAGCCCAGCCCAUGCAGUGGGAUGCUGCAGUUGGGGAUGAUGGACACGGAGCAGUUACAUCCAGGUCUGCUGUACGAGGCUGAAUUGCAGCAAAUGGGGCUGUUCAGGCUGCUUGUGCUUUGCACUGCUGCACACAUGUUUCAGAUGGUGGCUGAAAUCGAUCGGGGAAAGUGUGAGCACCUAAUAAAUAUUGGCAUUCCUGUGUCUCACGUGCUAAGUCUGUUUAGAGACUGGAUAUGUCAGGGCGCUGGUAAUAGACUUCGGAGAACCUUUCGGUUCCACUUGGCCGCCUCGAGUCUGGUUCAUGGGUAGGACUGAAAGUUAUUGCCCAGUUUGUGCCAUAUGAGGGAUGAGCUCAGUGUAAUUUCCAAAGAUGAAAGCGGCCACAUUGCAGAAAGAGCCGUCAUAAAUGGCCGUGUGAGUGCCUUACGGGCGCUGUCUGAUGUAGUGUGUUGGCUGUGGAGCACGGAGGGUUUGCUGGCUGCCCUUCCCUAUCACUGCCAUAGACCAAAGGCCUUCACGUGGGAGGUCUCUAAGGGUGUGUGAGAUGCCUGUAGACUCUCAUCUUUCUUCCCCUCCCAAACUGUAGAACAGUACUCUGCACUGUGCACCAGUGAGAGAAACGUACAGGCCCUGACCGUCAGUUCUGCAAGCCAUCAAAUAGGUGGAAAUAAAACACUUUAGCAAAACGAAGAGAUUGGACGUGUCAAGUAUGGUGAA